This 323-nucleotide ribosomal RNA is filed under the name uncultured bacterium. Its description in RNAcentral is "bacterial SSU rRNA". It matches the Rfam family "Bacterial small subunit ribosomal RNA", at positions 28 to 334 of the family's 1533-position model. The record is from RNAcentral.
GAUGAACGCUGGCGGCGUGCCUAACACAUGCAAGUCGAACGGGGUAUAUAAGCGGAAGUUUACGGAUGGAAGGUUAUAUACUUAGUGGCGGACGGGUGAGUAACGCGUGGGCAACCUGCCCCGUGCCGGGGGAUACCGCCUGGAAACAGGCGCUAAUACCGCAUAAGCGCAUACAGCCGCAUGGGUGUAUGCGGAAAGCUCCGGCGGCACGGGAUGGGCCCGCGCCCGAUUAGCCAGUUGGCGGGGUAACGGCCCACCAAAGCGACGAUCGGUAGCCGGCCUGAGAGGGCGGACGGCCACAUUGGGACUGAGACACGGCCCAA